Molecule: ribosomal RNA, 253 nt
Filed under: uncultured bacterium
Lineage: Bacteria
Description: partial 16S ribosomal RNA
Rfam family: Bacterial small subunit ribosomal RNA
Source: RNAcentral
UACGUAUGGAGCAAGCGUUAUCCGGAUUUACUGGGUGUAAAGGGAGCGCAGGGGGCUUUGCAAGUCUGAUGCGAAAGGCCGGGGCUCAACCCCGGGACUGCAUUGGAAACUGUAAAGCUAGAGUGCCGGAGAGGUAAGCGGAAUUCCUAGUGUAGCGGUGAAAUGCGUAGAUAUUAGGAGGAACACCAGUGGCGAAGGCGGCUUACUGGACGGCAACUGACGCUGAGGCUCGAAAGCGUGGGGAGCAAACAGG